UGCAGUCGAACGGUAACAGGCCGCAAGGUGCUGACGAGUGGCGAACGGGUGAGUAAUGCAUCGGAACGUGCCCAGUCGUGGGGGAUAACGCAGCGAAAGCUGCGCUAAUACCGCAUACGAUCUAUGGAUGAAAGCGGGGGACCAUAAGGCCUCGCGUUUAUUGGAGCGGCCGAUGUCAGAUUAGGUAGUUGGUGGGGUAAAGGCUCACCAAGCCAACGAUCUGUAGCUGGUCUGAGAGGACGACCAGCCACACUGGGACUGAGACACGGCCCAGACUCCUACGGGAGGCAGCAGUGGGGAAUUUUGGACAAUGGGCGCAAGCCUGAUCCAGCAAUGCCGCGUGCAGGAAGAAGGCCUUCGGGUUGUAAACUGCUUUUGUACGGAACGAAACGGUCUGGGUUAAUACCUCGGGCUAAUGACGGUACCGUAAGAAUAAGCACCGGCUAACUACGUGCCAGCAGCCGCGGUAAUACGUAGGGUGCAAGCGUUAAUCGGAAUUACUGGGCGUAAAGCGUGCGCAGGCGGUUUUGUAAGACAGGCGUGAAAUCCCCGGGCUCAACCUGGGAAUGGCGCUUGUGACUGCAAGGCUGGAGUGCGGCAGAGGGGGAUGGAAUUCCGCGUGUAGCAGUGAAAUGCGUAGAUAUGCGGAG
RNAcentral lists this ribosomal RNA (650 nucleotides) under uncultured bacterium. RNAcentral describes it as "bacterial SSU rRNA". It matches the Rfam family "Bacterial small subunit ribosomal RNA", at positions 56 to 703 of the family's 1533-position model. The record is from RNAcentral.